Molecule: ribosomal RNA, 419 nt
Filed under: uncultured ammonia-oxidizing beta proteobacterium
Lineage: Bacteria; Pseudomonadati; Pseudomonadota; Betaproteobacteria
Description: bacterial SSU rRNA
Rfam family: Bacterial small subunit ribosomal RNA
Source: RNAcentral
UGGAGAAAAGCAGGGGAUCGUAAGACCUUGCGCUUUUGGAGCGGCCGAUGCCUGAUUAGCUAGUUGGUGGGGUAAAGGCUUACCAAGGCAACGAUCAGUAGUUGGUCUGAGAGGACGGCCAGCCACACUGGGACUGAGACACGGCCCAGACUCCUACGGGAGGCAGCAGUGGGGAAUUUUGGACAAUGGGCGCAAGCCUGAUCCAGCAAUGCCGCGUGAGUGAAGAAGGCCUUCGGGUUGUAAAGCUCUUUCAGUCGAGAAGAAAAGAUUGUGACGAAUAAUCACAAUUCAUGACGGUAUCGACAGAAGAAGCACCGGCUAACUACGUGCCAGCAGCCGCGGUAAUACGUAGGGUGCAAGCGUUAAUCGGAAUUACUGGGCGUAAAGGGUGCGCAGGCGGCUUUGUAAGUCAGAUGUGA